GGGGAUGAACCGAGGCAGCCAUCGGCGAGACGCUGCUGCCUGAGCCACCAAGAGAGGUGCCACGUCCGAGCCUCCCGCUGCAGCCCCCGGAGCACCAAGCGCCGUGCGUCCACACCAACUUGGUCCAUCUGCCCCGUGGUGCCACCAGCCAGCGCCUGCCCUUGGGCACAGCUGCCUGGUGAAAGCUCUGGGACUGGUGCACGUGGGGCCACAUCCCUGCCA
This 222-nucleotide long non-coding RNA is filed under the name Chrysolophus pictus (golden pheasant). RNAcentral's name for it is "lncRNA (ENSCPIG00010012454.1)". Lineage: Eukaryota; Metazoa; Chordata; Aves; Galliformes; Phasianidae. The record is from RNAcentral.